Molecule: ribosomal RNA, 489 nt
Filed under: uncultured bacterium
Lineage: Bacteria
Description: partial 16S ribosomal RNA
Rfam family: Bacterial small subunit ribosomal RNA
Source: RNAcentral
GAUGAACGCUAGCGGCAGGCUUAAUACAUGCAAGUCGUGGGGCAGCAGGACUGUAGCACUACAGUUGCUGGCGACCGGCAAACGGGUGCGGAACACGUACGCAACUUACCCUGAACUGGGGGAUACCCGGGGGAAACCCGGAUUAUUACCCCGUAUUAUAUUGGAUUGGCAUCACUUUAUUAUUAAAGCCCCGCGGGUUCGGAUUGGCCGUGCGGCUGAUUAGGUAGUUGGUUGAGGUAACGGCUCACCAAGCCUACGAUCAGUAACUGGUGUGAGAGCACGACCAGUCACACGGGCACUGAGACACGGGCCCGACUCCUACGGGAGGCAGCAGUAAGGAAUAUUGGGCAAUGGAGGCAACUCUGACCCAGCCAUGCCGCGUGGAGGAUGAAGGCCCUCUGGGUUGUAAACUUCUUUUAUAGGGGACGAAACCUGUGUAUUCUUACGCAGUUGACGGUACCCUAGGAAUAAGCACCGGCUAACUCCGUG